This 1056-nucleotide ribosomal RNA is filed under the name Triticum aestivum (bread wheat). RNAcentral describes it as "partial small subunit ribosomal RNA". Lineage: Eukaryota; Viridiplantae; Streptophyta; Magnoliopsida; Poales; Poaceae. The record is from RNAcentral.
AUGGCCCUGCCGAUCCACCUUAUGUCCGUCUUACCUUUGCCGGCGUGGGCCAUCAAGAUUAUAAACAGACGAUGCCGCAGUUUUGUUUGGAAAGGGGAAGAGGAGAUAAAUGGGGGCCACUGUCUCUUGCCAUGGGCUAGAGUAUGUUCACCUUUGGAGGCAGGCGGGCUCGGAAUUAUUAACCUAAAAUGGUUUGGCUGGGCCCUUAGAUGCAAAUGGCCGUGGCUGCAGUGGGACGCCGAGGAGAGACCGUGGCAGCUUAUUCCUGAAUCCACGGAGAAGGAAGUCUAGGCCAUGUUCAGCGCGGCCUGCAGAAUCAGUCUUGGGGAUGGGAAAUCCGCACGGUUCUGGACGGAUAAUUGGCUCCCGGAUGGACGCUCUGCCUGUAUAAGAGAUAUAUCUGGAGGUUUAUCGCUUAUCGCCAUGGCACAAUACCUGCAGAUUUGGGAGAUUGUUCAGGCCACUUCACUGACGGACGGAACCAGAGACCGGGCGAUAUGGAAGUUGACACAUAAUUUCCAAUUCUCAGUUAAGAGCGCUUACCAACUAUUCUUCAUGGGGAACACUAACUUUGCUUGUUAUAAGCCAAUCUGGAAAUCCAAGGCACCCCCUCGAUGCAAAUUCUUCAUGUGGCUUGCAGUACAUCAACGGUGUCUGACUGCGGACAACCUGGAGAGAAGGAGCUAGCCUUCCAAUGGCAUUUGCCCUCUGUGCAAAUCACAACCGGAAACAUGCUUACAUCUUUUUAUGCACUGCAACUACACCAAGCUACUUUGGCGUCGCUUUAGAGCUUGGACGAGAGCUGAUUUUCUUAUCCCGGAUGCUACUUUCAGCUCCACGGAGGAAUGGUGGCUGCAGGCCAGGGCGGCUAUCCCGAAACCAUUCAGGAGAAACUUCGACACGGUUACCAUCCUUAUACACUGGAGGAUUUGGAAAGAAAGAAAUGCUAGGAUUUUUGACACUGUGGACAGUUCGGUGGACAGGGUGAGGGAUCUGAUCCUAGAGGAUGUCAAUGUCUGGAGGGCUGCGGGGUGUAUUGCUGACCUGUCGUCGUGA